UCAUAAUAAAAGAAGAUGAAAUUUAAUGUCAAUAGCAGUAAGAGUGUAGAAGGUAAUUCUAUUUCAUUUUCUUUUCAGACAAAACAGAAACAGGACGUGUUGGUACAAGCAAAUGAAAAAAUCCAGCUUGCCAGCAGUGGAUUGGCCCGGAGCAGUGAGCCGUCACGUGAUCGACUCCCAGCCGCUGUGAAGCACCCACGUGUGAGUUUUCCAUGACGCACCUUCUGCCGUCACACUGGCUCUCAAGUAAAUCAAUGGUCAAAUCUUUUCCAAAAGUGGUUUUGACAAAGAACAGCUUAAAUCGCCCAAGAUGUUGACAAAUGGGCUGUUAUCUAGGAGAGCGAGUAAAGCAACCCAUUUGAACGACAAGAGCAGAUAAG
RNAcentral lists this long non-coding RNA (380 nucleotides) under Delphinapterus leucas (beluga whale). Its description in RNAcentral is "lncRNA (ENSDLEG00000018720.1)". The record is from RNAcentral. Lineage: Eukaryota; Metazoa; Chordata; Mammalia; Artiodactyla; Monodontidae.